UACGUAGGGGGCGAGCGUUGUCCGGAUUUACUGGGCGUAAAGAGCGCGCAGGCGGUCGUUCAAGUCGGAUGUGAAAGCCCCCGGCUCAACUGGGGAGGGUCAUUCGAUACUGUUCGACUCGAAGGCAGGAGAGGGAAGCGGAAUUCCCGGUGUAGUGGUGAAAUGCGUAGAUAUCGGGAGGAACACCAGUGGCGAAGGCGGCUUCCUGGCCUGUUCUUGACGCUGAGGCGCGAAAGCUAGGGGAGCAAACGGG
Molecule: ribosomal RNA, 253 nt
Filed under: uncultured bacterium
Lineage: Bacteria
Description: partial 16S ribosomal RNA
Rfam family: Bacterial small subunit ribosomal RNA
Source: RNAcentral